UGGGGGAAAAUUAAUAUAAUAAAAUAAAUAAUAAAAAUAAUUAUAAAAAAUAAUUAAUGGGGGUUAAAGUAUUUUUUAGAAAAAAUUUAUUAAUUUAUAGUUUAAUAGUAUUGUGAAAGAAUUUUGAAAUAAAGUUAAAUAUGGAUUAUUAUUUAAGUAAAUUUAAUUUAUUGUAUCUUGUGUAUCAGAGUUUAUUAAUAAAAUAUUUUUAAAUAAAAAUAUCUCGAAUUUAAAAGAGAUAGUUAAUUAUUAAAGUUAAUGUGGCAUAAUUAUUUUAAAUAAUUAAUUUGAAAUGAAAUGUUAAUCGUUUUUAAAAAUAUCUAGUUUUUUUAGAAAAAAAUUUAAUUUUAAAUUAAUUUAAUAAUUUUUUAAAUUUGUUAUAUAAAAUUAUAUAUUUAAUUAAAUAUUUUAAGGGAUAAGCUUUAAAUUAAAUUUUUAUAAUAUUAAUAAAUUAUUUAAAUAUUUUAAAAUUUAUAUUUUUUAUAAAUUAUAAUUUUUUAUAAAUAAUUUUAUUUAUUUUAAAAUUUAAAUUUAUAUUUAAAUUUAUAUAAAAAAAUAAUUUUUAAUAAUAAAAAAUUAGUUAUAAUUAUAAAAUUAGUAUAUAAAAAAAAAAUUAAAUAAAAUUAAUUAAAAUUAAUAAAAAGGAAUUCGGCAAAAAU
This 659-nucleotide ribosomal RNA is filed under the name Colias meadii (Mead's sulphur). Its description in RNAcentral is "partial 16S ribosomal RNA". The record is from RNAcentral. Lineage: Eukaryota; Metazoa; Arthropoda; Insecta; Lepidoptera; Pieridae.